AGUGAACGCUGGCGGUAGGCCUAACACGUGCAAGUCGAACGGCAGCACAGGAGAGCUUGCUCUCUGGGUGGCGAGUGGCGGACGGGUGAGGAAUACAUCGGAAUCUACUCUGUCGGGGGGGAUAACGUAGGGAAACUUACGCUAAUACCGCAUACGACCUACGGGUGAAAGCAGGGGAUCUUCGGACCUUGCGCGAUUGAAUGAGCCGAUGUCGGAUUAGCUAGUUGGCGGGGUAAAGGCCCACCAAGGCGACGAUCCGUAGCUGGUCUGAGAGGAUGAUCAGCCACACUGGAACUGAGACACGGUCCAGCCUCCUACGGGAGGCAGCAGUGGGGAAUAUUGGACAAUGGGCGCAAGCCUGAUCCAGCCAUACCGCGUGGGUGAAGAAGGCCUUCGGGUUGUAAAGCCCUUUUGUUGGGAAAGAAAUCCAGCUGGCUAAUACCCGGUUGGGAUGACGGUACCCAAAGAAUAAGCACCGGCUAACUUCGUGCCAGCCGCCGCGGUAA
This 506-nucleotide ribosomal RNA is filed under the name uncultured bacterium. RNAcentral describes it as "partial 16S ribosomal RNA". It matches the Rfam family "Bacterial small subunit ribosomal RNA", at positions 29 to 523 of the family's 1533-position model. The record is from RNAcentral.